GGCUUCUUGAUUCCCACUGAUUCACAGACUUGGGUCACCUCAGGCGCACAGUGAAUUGUAAAAGACUAAAGACUGGAGCCCCAUCUGCUCAUCCCUACAGCAGAAUCUGAAGCCUAGGGCCAGGCUUGAAAGUUCCAUCUGAGCUUGCCUUGCUGAGGAAACAAAGAGCAGGCUGCAGGACCAUAAUGAAAUGAGUAAUGUGGGGACAAGAUCCAAAGUCAAUGAGCUGACUUGAAAUAGCUGAGCAUCAAGGCCAUGAAGAACUGACAGCAGCAAAGCCACAACCAGCCACAGCCAUGAAAUUCAAGAGAGAUCAUUAAAAAAGAUUAAUAGAGACAGGAGCAGACAAGUUAAUGCCCAGUUUGAUGGACUGAGGAGGAAGAUAGGGCAGAAUGAUCAGUGGGGAGCAGAAAGGCUGUGUGCCCUGGGAGCCCUGACCUGCAUGCAGAGCCUGCCUGUGCAUUCACCUCCUCCUGCAGACACCCAGGGAAUGUGGGUUCCACUUGGAAACCACAGAGUUCAUGGGAAGUAGCAGCUCGUGCACUCUUUGUGCAAAUGAAAUGUCUAGGACAUAAAAAUCACCUUGGUGUGCCUUGUCUUCCAUCUCCUCUGUUAAAUAAUAAAUAGAAGCCUAAUGGAACUGAGCA
RNAcentral lists this long non-coding RNA (647 nucleotides) under Cyanistes caeruleus (blue tit). Its description in RNAcentral is "lncRNA (ENSCCEG00000021558.1)". The record is from RNAcentral. Lineage: Eukaryota; Metazoa; Chordata; Aves; Passeriformes; Paridae.